AACGCUGGCGGCGUGCCUAAUACAUGCAAGUCGAACGGUCUUUUCUAUGGAAGCUUGCUUCCACUGAGAAGAUAGUGGCGAACGGGUGAGUAACACGUGGGUAACCUGCCCAUAAGAGGGGGGAUAACAUCCGGAAACGGGUGCUAAUACCGCAUAGUUUUCUUGAUCGCAUGAUUGAGAAAGGAAAGACGGCCUUUGUGCUGUCGCUUAUGGAUGGACCCGCGGCGUAUUAGUUAGUUGGUGAGGUAACGGCUCACCAAGACGAUGAUACGUAGCCGACCUGAGAGGGUGAUCGGCCACAUUGGGACUGAGACACGGCCCAAACUCCUACGGGAGGCAGCAGUAGGGAAUCUUCCGCAAUGGACGGAAGUCUGACGGAGCAACGCCGCGUGAGUGAAGAAAGGUUUUCGGAUCGUAAAACUCUGUUGUCAGAGAAGAACAAGUUGGAGAGUAACUGCUCCAGCCUUGACGGUAUCUGACCAGAAAGCCACGGCUAACUACGUGCCAGCCGCCGC
Molecule: ribosomal RNA, 515 nt
Filed under: uncultured bacterium
Lineage: Bacteria
Description: bacterial SSU rRNA
Rfam family: Bacterial small subunit ribosomal RNA
Source: RNAcentral